UCCUAGCCCUAAACGAUGCUCACUAGGUGUUAGAGGUAUCGACCCCUCUAGUGCCGCAGCUAACGCGUUAAGUGAGCCGCCUGGGGAUUACAACCGCAAGGUUAAAACUCAAAUGAAUUGACGGGGGCCCGCACAAGCGGUGGAGCAUGUGGUUUAAUUCGAUGCUACGCGAAUAACCUUACCUGGGUUUGACAUGCUAGUAGUAGAACCCUGAAAGGGGAACGAUGUACUUUUAGUACAAGCUAGCACAGGUGCUGCAUGGCUGUCGUCAGUUCGUGUCGUGAGAUGUUGGGUUAA
This 297-nucleotide ribosomal RNA is filed under the name uncultured bacterium. RNAcentral's name for it is "partial 16S ribosomal RNA". It matches the Rfam family "Bacterial small subunit ribosomal RNA", at positions 794 to 1083 of the family's 1533-position model. The record is from RNAcentral.